RNAcentral lists this ribosomal RNA (466 nucleotides) under uncultured bacterium. RNAcentral describes it as "partial 16S ribosomal RNA". It matches the Rfam family "Bacterial small subunit ribosomal RNA", at positions 28 to 507 of the family's 1533-position model. The record is from RNAcentral.
GACGAACGCUGGCGGCGCGCCUAACACAUGCAAGUCGAACGAGCGAGAGGAGGUUUACUUUCUCAAGCGAGUGGCGAACGGGUGAGUAACGCGUGAGGAACCUGCCUCAAAGAGGGGGACAACAGUUGGAAACGACUGCUAAUACCGCAUAAGCCCACGACCCGGCAUCGGGUAGAGGGAAAAGGAGCAAUCCGCUUUGAGAUGGCCUCGCGUCCGAUUAGCUAGUUGGUGAGGUAAUGGCCCACCAAGGCGACGAUCGGUAGCCGGACUGAGAGGUUGAACGACCACAUUGGGACUGAGACACGGCCCAGACUCCUACGGGAGGCAGCAGUGGGGAAUAUUGCACAAUGGGGGAAACCCUGAUGCAGCGACGCCGCGUGGAGGAAGAAGGUCUUCGGAUUGUAAACUCCUGUUGUUGAGGAAGAUAAUGACGGUACUCAACAAGGAAGUGACGGCUAACUACGUG